AGCAUGCAAGUCAAACGGGAUGUAGCAAUACAUCUAGUGGCGAACGGGUGAGUAACGCGUGGAUGAUCUACCUAUGAGAUGGGGAUAACUAUUAGAAAUAGUAGCUAAUACCGAAUAAAGUCAAUUAAUUUGUUAAUUGAUGAAAGGAAGCCUUUAAAGCUUCGCUUGUAGAUGAGUCUGCGUCUUAUUAGUUAGUUGGUAGGGUAAAUGCCUACCAAGGCGAUGAUAAGUAACCGGCCUGAGAGGGUGAACGGUCACACUGGAACUGAGACACGGUCCAGACUCCUACGGGAGGCAGCAGCUAAGAAUCUUCCGCAAUGGGCGAAAGCCUGACGGAGCGACACUGCGUGAAUGAAGAAGGUCGAAAGAUUGUAAAAUUCUUUUAUAAAUGAGGAAUAAGCUUUGUAGGAAAUGACAAAGUGAUGACGUUAAUUUAUGAAUAAGCCCCGGCUAAUUACGUGCCAGCAGCCGCGGUAAUACG
Molecule: ribosomal RNA, 481 nt
Filed under: Borreliella yangtzensis
Lineage: Bacteria; Pseudomonadati; Spirochaetota; Spirochaetia; Spirochaetales; Borreliaceae
Description: bacterial SSU rRNA
Rfam family: Bacterial small subunit ribosomal RNA
Source: RNAcentral